RNAcentral lists this ribosomal RNA (408 nucleotides) under Triticum aestivum (bread wheat). Its description in RNAcentral is "partial small subunit ribosomal RNA". Lineage: Eukaryota; Viridiplantae; Streptophyta; Magnoliopsida; Poales; Poaceae. The record is from RNAcentral.
AUGUGUUGUGAGGAGUUCAAGAGAGGCAAUCUGCUACAUCCGUUGGAGAUGGAUUCCUUUUUCCCGGUGCUGCAGUACGCCGACGACACCCUGAUUCUGAUCAAAGGGACUGUGGAGCAAACCGCAAUCGUCAAGAGGAUGCUUAAGCGUUUCUCUGACUUCACUGGUCUGCAGAUCAACUUCAAUAAAAGCACCUUUGUGCCCAUCAACAUGGAGCAAUCUACUAGCCAGCAAGUUUCUGAGCUGCUAGAGUGUCCGGUCUCAACCUUCCCUUGUAACUACUUGGGCUUGCCGUUGUCAACAAACAAGAUCACCCAUGCGAUGUUGAUGCCAGUCAUACACCGAGUGGACAAAAGACUCUCUGGCUGGUUGGUAACCUUCUUGUCUUGGGGAGGGAGGCUUACAUAA